GGUUGGGAUGUCAUGGCGAGAAGUAGAGAAGAAAGCACAAGACAUAGUGUUAUGGAGAGAGCUAGUGUCGGCCUUAUGUGCAUCAAAGCACGAAGAGGAUUAAGUAAGUAUGUAAGUCACUGACACCUAGUAUGUCAAUAACCAUAAAUUUUUCAUUUCCUUUGCUACUUGUGCUGCUUUUGAUAUGUCUAAAAUUCCAACAUCCUAUAUACAUAUUCUGUGUUGGCGCUACUAUGAUCGGCUUUUGGGCUUCCUUUUGGCUUUCCCCCAAAUGUGUCAUGUUUGGUUUCUCAGCAGUACACCAGUUUUGGGUUUCUUCAGCGUUUCUGAUUUCUGUAACAAGCUCUUUUUUUACAGAGUUGGGUUGUUAGCCCAACGUCCAACCUCUGCUCUGGUGGACUGGAUUUUCUUUCUGGGUCGUCCUUCCCGUAGAUGAUUGCAUUACCAUGCUAACGGAUUGCAUCUGUCCGGAUUUCUUUUCUGGGUUAUCUCCUAU
This 496-nucleotide long non-coding RNA is filed under the name Mytilus galloprovincialis (Mediterranean mussel). Lineage: Eukaryota; Metazoa; Mollusca; Bivalvia; Mytilida; Mytilidae. The record is from RNAcentral.